RNAcentral lists this ribosomal RNA (253 nucleotides) under uncultured bacterium. RNAcentral describes it as "partial 16S ribosomal RNA". It matches the Rfam family "Bacterial small subunit ribosomal RNA", at positions 524 to 776 of the family's 1533-position model. The record is from RNAcentral.
UACAGAGACUGCAAGCGUUAUUCGGAUUCACUGGGCGUAAAGGGUGCGCAGGCGGCCAAGUGUGUUAGGUGUGAAAGCCCGGGGCUUAACCCCGGAAUUGCACCUAAAACUACAUGGCUAGAGCAUUGGAGAGGGGAUCAGAAUUCACGGUGUAGCAGUGAAAUGCGUAGAUAUCGUGAGGAAUACCAGAGGCGAAGGCGGCUCCCUGGACAAUUGCUGACGCUCAGGCACGAAAGCGUGGGGAGCAAAAGGG